This 449-nucleotide ribosomal RNA is filed under the name uncultured Anaerolineaceae bacterium. RNAcentral's name for it is "bacterial SSU rRNA". It matches the Rfam family "Bacterial small subunit ribosomal RNA", at positions 919 to 1382 of the family's 1533-position model. Lineage: Bacteria; Bacillati; Chloroflexota; Anaerolineae; Anaerolineales; Anaerolineaceae. The record is from RNAcentral.
ACCCGCACAAGCAGCGGAGCGUGUGGUUUAAUUCGAUGCUACACGAAGAACCUUACCAGGGUUUGACAUGCAAGUGUAGGAAACUGAAAAGGGACCGACCCUUCGGGAGCUUGCACAGGUGCUGCAUGGCUGUCGUCAGCUCGUGUCGUGAGAUGUUCGGUUAAGUCCGCUAACGAGCGCAACCCUCACUGUGUGUUAUAUGUGUCACACGGGACUGCCGGUUUUAAGCCGGAGGAAGGUGGGGAUGACGUCAAGUCAGCAUGGCCUUUAUAUCCUGGGCUACACACACGCUACAACGGUCGGUACAAUAGGUUGCCAAGCCGCGAGGCGGAGCCAAUCCAAAAAAGCCGGCCUCAGUUCAGAUUGUAGGCUGCAACUCGCCUGCAUGAAGAUGGAGUUGCUAGUAACCGCAGGUCAGCAAUACUGCGGUGAAUACGUUCCCGGGUCUU